RNAcentral lists this ribosomal RNA (402 nucleotides) under uncultured bacterium. RNAcentral's name for it is "bacterial SSU rRNA". It matches the Rfam family "Bacterial small subunit ribosomal RNA", at positions 355 to 774 of the family's 1533-position model. The record is from RNAcentral.
UCGGGAAUUUUGGGCAAUGGGCGAAAGCCUGACCCAGCAACGCCGCGCGAGGGAUGAAGUAUUUCGGUAUGUAAACCUCGAAAGAAUGGGAAGAAUAAAUGACGGUACCAUUUAUAAGCUCCGGCUAACUACGUGCCAGCAGCCGCGGUAAUACGUAGGGGGCAAGCGUUGUCCGGAUUUACUGGGUGUAAAGAGCGCGCAGGCGGAAUGGAAAGUCAGUGGUGAAAUCCUACAGCUUAACUGUAGAACUGCCUUUGAUACUUUCAUUCUUGAGUUCGGGAGAGAGCGACGGAAUUCCAGGUGUAGUGGUGAAAUACGUAGAUAUCUGGAAGAACACCAGUUGCGAAGGCGGUCUCUUGGUCCGAUACUGACGCUGAGGCGCGAAAGCGUGGGGAGCAAACA